This is a long non-coding RNA of Eucalyptus grandis, 466 nucleotides long. RefSeq lists it as uncharacterized. Lineage: Eukaryota; Viridiplantae; Streptophyta; Magnoliopsida; Myrtales; Myrtaceae. The transcript is spliced from 2 exons. The record is from RefSeq and is a predicted model, not a curated record.
GGCUGGUUUGGUUAGAUCUGGAAUUUGGGGAGAGAUAUUGAGUCCAUGGAAGUGGUGGCAAACGCCAAACAGGGCACUUCCGCAUUUUAGCAAAUUUCCAUGGGAGAGGAGAAUAUGUCAGUGACAGAUGGGCAAAAAACAAGGUUUAGAGACUGAAAAGGCUAGGGAAAGCACCGAAAGCUGGAAGCAGAGCUAUCUCAAUGACAUGAUGAAGAUGAAAUAUACAGACCACCGAAUAACUUGCUCUAGAUUCCAAUUCCGGAGAGUUAGAUAACUUGGGGUUGGAUCCUGUUUCCACGACGACUCCAUCGUUGAACAAGACGAGGCUUUUGUAUAGUCCUGCUAUGGUGUAUCUAAGAAUAUGUAUUUUGACUUAGGAAUGACAUCCUACGGAUAUAGUCAUAUGUUUGUUCUAUUGCAAUGACCUAAGGGUUUAGCUAAUACGAACAAAUAGCAUUCAAUCCGA